UUUGUGAGCAUAAAAACGUAUCGAGUUG
RNAcentral lists this small RNA (28 nucleotides) under Bombyx mori (domestic silkworm). RNAcentral's name for it is "ovarian small RNA-38429". Lineage: Eukaryota; Metazoa; Arthropoda; Insecta; Lepidoptera; Bombycidae. The record is from RNAcentral.